AAGCCAGCCAAUUAAUUGAGUUAUCUGAAUGUCUUUCUACAUAAAUUUAGAAAAAGUUGGCAAAAGUGAUGCCAUAUUAUAAACCUCAAGAUCCACUGAGGUCAUUAAGGUCUCUGAAAAUGGCUACACUA
Small nucleolar RNA from Jaculus jaculus (lesser Egyptian jerboa), 131 nucleotides. The record is from Ensembl. Lineage: Eukaryota; Metazoa; Chordata; Mammalia; Rodentia; Dipodidae.